Penaeus vannamei (Pacific white shrimp) is the source of this 255-nucleotide non-coding RNA. NCBI's taxonomy places the organism in Eukaryota, Metazoa, Arthropoda, Malacostraca, Decapoda, Penaeidae. The record is from RefSeq and is a predicted model, not a curated record.
ACAAAUCGGAAGAAAUGGCUGAGAAGAUGAAAUCAGUAUUGGAGGAAGAGAUGAUGUAAUUGUUGUUAACCGAAUGCAAAAUAAAGAAAUUGAUAACAUUUGUAUAAACCCUUUUCGAUUGUUUAUGGAAAAUGUACCAGUUCAGACUACUUUUGAAGACUUAGAGAAGUUGUUUACAACAGCAUCAGAGGUUGUUUACAUGCCUAACAGAUGUUUAGCUCACAUGAUAUACAAAUCCAAAGAAGAGCAGAGAAG